CGGAAUUCACUCAGGCUCAGCCAUGCAUGUGUAAGUAUAAAUAAUUUUACUUUGAAACUGCGAAUGGCUCAUUAUAUCAGUUAUAGUUUAUUAGAAAUAUUUUACUACUUGGAUAACCGUAGUAAUUCUAGGGCUAAUACAUGAGUAAAACCUCAACUUCGGAAGAGGUGUGUUUAUUAGUAUGAAAACCAUAUAUCUUCGGAUAUAAUAGUGAGUAAUAAUAACCUUUCAUAUCGUAUGUCGUAAGAUAACGAUAGUUCUUUCAAGUUUCUGCCCUAUCAGCUUUCGAUGGUAGUAUAUGGGACUACCAUGGCAGUAACGGGUAACGAAGAAUUUGGGUUCGAUUUCGGAGAGGGAGCCUGAGAGAUGGCUACCACAUCCAAGGAAGGCAGCAGGCGCGUAAAUUACCCAAUCCUGACAUAGGGAGGUAGUGACAAUAAAUCACAAUGCGGAACUUUUAGUUUUGCAAUUGGAUUGAGAACAAUGUACAAAUGUUAUCGAUAAACAAUUGGAGGGCAAGUCUGGUGCCAGCAGCCGCGGUAAUUCCAGCUCCAAUAGCGUAUAUUAACGUUGUUGCAGAAAAAAAGCUUCAA
RNAcentral lists this ribosomal RNA (593 nucleotides) under Blastocystis sp. RNAcentral describes it as "SSU rRNA". It matches the Rfam family "Eukaryotic small subunit ribosomal RNA", at positions 29 to 632 of the family's 1831-position model. The record is from RNAcentral. Lineage: Eukaryota; Bigyra; Opalinata; Blastocystidae.